This 484-nucleotide ribosomal RNA is filed under the name uncultured bacterium. RNAcentral describes it as "partial 16S ribosomal RNA". It matches the Rfam family "Bacterial small subunit ribosomal RNA", at positions 30 to 507 of the family's 1533-position model. The record is from RNAcentral.
AUUGAACGCUGGCGGCAGGCCUAACACAUGCAAGUCGAGCGGACGAAGGGAGCUUUCUCCUGGAUUCAGCGGCGGACGGGUGAGUAAUGCCUAGGAAUCUGCCUGGUAGUGGGGGAUAACGUCCGGUAACGGGCGCUAAUACCGCAUACGUCCUUAGGGUGAAAGUGGGGGAUCUUCGGACCUCACGCUAUCAGAUGAGCCUAGGUCGGAUUAGCUAGUUGGUGGGGUAAAGGCCUACCAAGGCGACGAUCCGUAACUGGUCUGAGAGGAUGAUCAGUCACACUGGAACUGAGACACGGUCCAGACUCCUACGGGAGGCAGCAGUAGGGAAUAUUGGACAAUGGGCGAAAGCCUGAUCCAGCCAUGCCGCGUGUGUGAAGAAGGUCUUCGGAUUGUAAAGCACUUUAAGUUGGGAGGAAGGGCAGUGAGUUAAUACCUUGCUGUUUUGACGUUACCAACAGAAUAAGCACCGGCUAACUUCGUG